Molecule: ribosomal RNA, 253 nt
Filed under: uncultured bacterium
Lineage: Bacteria
Description: partial 16S ribosomal RNA
Rfam family: Bacterial small subunit ribosomal RNA
Source: RNAcentral
UACGUAGGGGGCAAGCGUUGUCCGGAAUUAUUGGGCGUAAAGAGUGCGUAGGCGGUCUGAUAAGUCGGUUGUGAAAGUCGGGGGCUCAACCCUCGGAUGCCGAUCGAUACUGUCAGGCUAGAGUCCGGAAGAGGCGAGUGGAAUUCCUGGUGUAGCGGUGAAAUGCGCAGAUAUCAGGAGGAACACCAAUGGCGAAGGCAGCUCGCUGGGACGGUACUGACGGUGAGGCGCGAAAGCGGGGGGAGCAAACAGG